This 253-nucleotide ribosomal RNA is filed under the name uncultured bacterium. Its description in RNAcentral is "partial 16S ribosomal RNA". It matches the Rfam family "Bacterial small subunit ribosomal RNA", at positions 524 to 776 of the family's 1533-position model. The record is from RNAcentral.
UACGUAGGCAGCAAGCGUUGUUCGGAGUUACUGGGCGUAAAGAGUGCGUAGGCGGUCCGGCAAGUUCGGUGUGAAAUCUCCCGGCUUAACUGGGAGGGUGCGCCGAAGACUGUUGGGCUGGAGUGUGGGAGAGGCAGGCGGAAUUCCUGGUGUAGCGGUGAAAUGCGUAGAUAUCAGGAGGAACACCGGUGGUGUAGGCGGCCUGCUGGACCAUAACUGGCGCUGAGGCACGAAAGCGUGGGGAGCAAACAGG